GGUUAUGUUUUAUUAAUUUUAUUGAUUUAUAUGAUUUUAUGAUUAAGUGUUUACAUUAUGCUUAUGUUCAUUUCUUUUAUUUACAAAGUGAUAUGCCUUCAGGUUAUGAUUAGGCUAGACUAACAAUAUUGUCCGACCGUUAAGGUUAGUUAUGACAAGGAUAGAUGACGAGUCAACAGCGAAUAAGAACACCACACUUAGAUGCUUAAUAGGUUGAUUAAAAGCAUGAACUCACUACCUAGACUAUCAUUGACAGAUACGUUUUCCUAGACAUCCACGAUUUUCACGAGAUGUUGUUUGAUGAAUACGUUCUCCCGGACAUCCACGAUUCUCACGAUAUGUAGUCUGACAGAUGCGUUCUCCCAGACAUCCACGAUUUUCAUGAUUUAUGCAGUAGGGCUAGUUAGUUGAGUUGGGGGACGUCCUACAAGAAAUGAGUUACCUUAUAUAAGGUUAAGAAAGUACAAGAAUAAGAGUCAUAUGUUUGAUUUUCACAAACACCAUAGUUAUGAUAUGACAAGUAACAAGAACCAUGAUACUUACGAUCUCACAAUGCACCUAACACGAUUGAUUUGAGUUUCAAUCUUGAAUGAUGAUUAUUUAUUAUGAUCACUUUUUCUGUUAAGCUUACAUGCAUAUUUUGAUUGCUUUAUGUGAUGUGUUUAUUUAGAAAGUAGAAAUGAUUUUUAUGAAAUUACAUGACUUGUAUCCCAAUGUUUACUUGGAAUUAGUUUAUGAUAUGAGCACGAAAGACUGACUCUGAACCACCCACUAAGGUGUUUGAAAGUUGUUGCAGGAACAUAGUGGAGUUGAUUCAGGGGUGUGUCAAUGUGGACUUCGUUUAAAGAAAGUUGAAAGUUUUCAAGUGUUUAAAUGAGACUUGGUUUCAUUGAUUAUAUUAUUCAUAGGUAACAAGUUUUUCUGUUAUUAGUUCUCUUUAUUAUUUAAUUUUAAUUUGGAGUACCCUGGCUAGGGCAUUUUGAUAAAUAGUCAAGAUGUUGUUAAAGACCGUAAAGCCCUUGUGCUAUUUUCAGUUUUUCAAUGCUUUAAGGGCAUUUUAGCCAUUUAAUAAACUGCAAAAGAUGAGGGUGUUACAUAUUGGUAUCGAAGCCGGUCUCCCUCUGUCUCGUUGGGAAACCAAUGAGAGACUAGGAUUCGGUCGUGUUUUAAAUGAUUUAAAAGGUUUUGAAAGCAAGUCGCAGCUUUGAAAGUACUUAUUUAUUUUCGCAAGUCUCAAGUCGACUCCACGAAUCAGCUCACUCCUAUGAUAAGGUACUAGCAUGACUUUAUGUUUAGAAAUAUUAGCGUGAUUACUAUCUCGACGACCUCAAUUUGAGGACGAAUAUUUUUUGAAGUGUGUAGGAAAUGUUAUACCCCGAUCCUAACAACGAAAAAUAUAUUAAUGAAUGUCUCAAGUGCCCCUAGUUAAAUGUCAAGAUUAAUUUCGUUAUAAUGAAUAUAAUUACUUUUAUUGCUAUUAAUAGUACUAUUGUUGGUAUGGUUAUGAUUAUAAAUUAUAGAUAUCAUGAAUAUUAUUUCCAUGCAUAAGUUAACAUAUGUUUUAUUAGUUAACCUUUGGGAACUAUGAACUAUUAGUCUUGGUUGAUCUUUUAACCCUUUAAUUGAUUUAAUUAGGUGAACUAAGUGCCUACUCAGGAUUUAAACUUGUCUAAAGAAUCACAGUCAUUAAAUUGGUUGCAGUUUAGUGGUUAGGUUGGCUAACCACUAGAUUGGAGGGUAGAAGUUCAAUCCCUAUAUAUAUGAUGCAUCAUCUCGUUGACGUCAUGAGGAUCUCUUUCCCUUAUUUUCCCCAACGUGCCUCUGCCAUCUGUUUCGCUUCUUUUACUCCGAUGAUCUCGCACUGAUUUCUUUCCCUUAAAAAAAUUUAUUCGAUCAUAAUGGAUUCCCAGUGGAUUACUAUCAAGUACUCAUAUUAUCUAUCGUUAAAAGGAUUCCUUGGCUCUAAAAAGAAGUAACAACCCAAAAGAAAUCCAUACUCUGUUUCUCUCGACAAAGAUCGGUGACGGCGACGACAAGGUGUCAAAUAUGGAGCUCAUUUAGAACUCAUGAUUCUACAAGCGAUGGCGGUGCGCAAAUUUGUUCCCGAUUAGAGAAACAAUGAGUACUCUUGAUUCAACUUCACAGCCUCUCACAUUGUAGCAGCCGACACUUUCCGCCCUCGCCAACAACAGGUUUCGUCCGUUGUAUCCAUAAUCUCCGGAUGACUGAACCAAUAUUACUUUUCUCAGCCCUCCAGGACUUCCGAGCAAUUGAACCGAGGUUUUUUAAAGACAAUCAACUUCCCAAAUCGAACUCCAAUUUCUCCUUGAGUCUCAGCAUCUUAUUCUAAAGGUGGGUUGGUUUAAGGGAGUAAAUUCUUUAUGUUGUUGUAUUUGGGUUAUGUUUUAUUAAUUUGAUUGAUUUACAUGAUUUUAUGAUUAAGUGUUUACAUUAUGUUUAUGUUCAUUUCUUUUAUGUACAAAGUGAUGUGCCUUUAGAUUAUGAUAAGGCUAGACUAAUAUAUCAACACUAGACUAACGAUAUUGUUCGAUCAUUAAGGUUAGUAUUAUGACAAGGAUAGAUGACGAGUGAACAUCGAACAAGAACACCACACUUUGAUGAUUAAUAGGUGGAUUAAAAGCAUGAAAUCAUUACCUAAACUACGCUGACGGAUACGUUCUGCCAGACAUUCACGAUUUUCAUAAUUUAUGCGGUAGGGCUAGUUAGUUGAGUUGGGGGACGCCCUAUAAGAAAUGAGUUACCUUAGAUAAGGUUAAGAAAGUACAAGAAUAAGAGUCAUAUGCUUGACUUUCACGAACACCAUAGUUAUGAUAUGACAAGUUAAAAGAACCAUGAUACUUACGAUCUCACAAUGCACUUAACACGGUUGAUUUGAGUUUCAAUUUUGGAUGAUGAUUAUUUGUUAUGAUCACUUUUUAUGUUAAGCUUACAUACAUGUUUUGAUUACAUAAAGAUGAUUGCUUUAUCUGAUGUGUUUAUUUAGAAAGUAGAAAUGAUUUUUAUGAAAUUAUAUGACUUGUAACCCAAUGUUUACUUAGAAUUAUUUUAUGAUAUGAGCACGAAAAACUGAUCACGAACCAUCCACUAGGGUGUUUGAAAGUUGUUGCAGGAGUAGAGUGGAGCUAAUUCGGUGGUGUGGCAAUGUGGACUUGGUUUAAAAAAGGUUGAAAGUUUUCAAGUUUUUAAAUGAGACUUGGUUUCAUUGAUUAUGUUAUUUACAUGUAACAAGUUUUUAUGUUAUUAGUUCUCUUUAUUAUUUAAUUUUAAUUUGAAGUACCCUCGAUGGGGCAUUUUCGUAAAUAGUCAAGAUUUUGUUAAAGGCCCUAUAGCCCAUGUGCGAUUUUCAGUUUUCCGCUGCUCACGGCCAUUUUAGUCAUUUGAUAAAUCACAAUAGAUGAGGGUGUUGCUAUAGAACCUUUCUAGCCAUUCGGUUACCACUGUGGUGGUCGCCAGUCGGUCCUAAAUGGCAAAGUCGGAUUAUGUUGUGUAUCUCAGAAACUGUUAUAGAACGAUGGAUGAUUCCGUCGGAUCAUAUGCGGAAGAGAAAAGGAUCAUCCCAUAAGUGGUGCUUAAGAUAAGCCAAUAAUUUUUGCUUAUCUUACCAUGAAAGAUCCUUGUGGAGUUUGCGAGUAGCCAAAUAGUUGGAAAAAUCAGCAAUCCAAAAACCUUUCAAUUUUUAAGCAGCUACGUACACCAAAAAGUUCUUCGUCGGGAAAGGAAUCAUUGAUCUCAACCCCAGUCUAGUGAGAUGCUUUUGGACCUUCGAGUUUAGAAAAAUGAUUGCAUCGACAUUUCUUGCACCCUUCUUAUCGCAAAUCUCAUUGUCAAAUUCUUACAACAGCAAGGCUCAUCUAAUUAAUCACAACUUCGCAACAGAUUUGACCAAAAUAUACCUCAGUGCUUGAUGGUCAAGGAAGACUACCGUCUCCGUGUUUACCAUUGGGCCAAAGGGUUUUGUUGAUUCAUUAUUACGGACCUUGGAUAUGUUUAACUGUGGGCGAGCUGGACAGGAGGAGGUCUAGCCCGAAUGAGAUCGAUUGGGAUUUUGACCCAGAGCCCAUGACUUAAACGAAGUCCGCCUCUAUCACGGCUGAUCCGCCCGUCCCGAACUAGGGUUCCUCUUGUCUCAUUGUGUAGCCGUCAGAAUCCCUAUUCUCUCGAAUUUUCAAUGUGCUUCAGUUCCUCCCUUCUGCGGCGUUCCUGGAAGUAAGCCCAGGCGCUCAUAGUGGUUCACUAUACCUAUCUCAAUGACAGUAAGCCAUUCUUAGCCUCCGAUUCAUCUUCUAUUUCUUCUCUGGCUCAGAUUGCUUUUCCUGUUUUAACGUUAUGGAGAAUCGAUCUCAUAGGCGUCGAGCCCUUGACGAUGACUGGACUUUAUUCAUCUUUGGCGACCCAACGACGACGAGGAGAAGAUCCCGUCGCUCUUGAUCCUCGGCGUGUCGGCUUUUCCUUCCUCUCCUGGCGACUUUGGAUCGGUAAGCCUUCUUCGGAUCCUUCACUUACUUCAACCUGUUUCUGCCUCUCUAUCUAGCUCUCAUCUUUGCUUCUGCUGAUCCCAACGAUGGAAGCCCGUCCGAGCUCGGCGAGAUCGACACAGGUAAAGUCUCCAUCUUGUAUUUAUUCAUUCAGUUUGGCAUCUAGAUUAUGCUCUAACCCCACUCAUGUCUCUGGGCAAUGGGAAAUGCGGAACUGAGGCCGGACGAACCCGAGUUCCUAUUCCUAUUUACAUAUUUCUGAGUUUCGCCCAUCGUUAUUCGAAAUUUUGCCUAGUUUAUUUUUAAACUUGUACUGUUGAACCAUUAUUUAUAACUCACUCCUUAGAUAAGAUCAUUUUAACUUGAGCUCAAGCUCUUUAGAUAGUAACGUAUUAAAUUUAAAAUUAAUUUAUUAGAUAGUAAUGUCAUUCUCAUAUAUUAUUGUAGCUUUGUAUUAGGUAAAAAGUAAUGGAUUUGGCAAUUGAUUACUUGAUAUACAUAUAUUCAAUCAAAAUUCAACUCGGUGCAUGUUUCAAUUGUGAUUACGCCUUUGAUUUUACUAUUAUUAAUGAAAAAUGUUAACCUGACUUCUUAUAUCAGUUAACUUUUAGGCUUGAAAUUCCGCUCAGUGUCUUCGAUCAUCCUAGUUCCGCCAUUAUCUCUGGGUUUGAGUUAGGAGGAGCGGAGGAUUCUAUCACCAUGCUUGUUCAUCUCUUGAUCGAGCAGGUAAAGAUAUCAUUUUGGGUAGAACUUCUCCUGUUUAUUAUCUUGCCAUAUGUUUCUAAACUCGUUCUCAUGUUCUCAAAUCAGGAGGGUUAGUAACAAAGGGGAGAAAGAGGGUGAUCUAGAACAACCCCGCUUCAAUGAGGUGGACUCCAGGUAUUUCUACCUUGAAAUCCCAUUUCAUAUUGCCUUGCCAUGCCAUGAAUCCAUAAUGAAAAAAAUGCCACUGGGUCGAUAGACUACUUGUAUGGUUUCGAUCAUGAUGUCAUAUCUUCAAGUGUUUGUAUUCGUUUAGUGGGAAAGGCAUUUUGAAUAUGUACUGGUCACUUAAACCUCUCUUGGCUCACAUUUAAAUUUAGCCUCACUCAAACUCAAAAUCAAUCUAUAGAGUACGUAAUCAGUUUUUCAUGCCUAGGAUCAUCCCUUUUCCUAGGUGGAAUCACAUCUAGCGGUAUUCUCGAAUCUAGAAACUGGGGUGAUCCUAACUUGGGUGUUUUGGUCAAAAAUUAUUGUUAUUGUCUCUUAUGGGUUGCGAGGUUUAAUGAUACAAAAGGGGUAACAGUGAUGCUAGCCUUAGUGAUGUUUUUUGUUUGGUCGUAUUACCGAUUUAUGAUUUUGGAUUGAGGUCAUUGUGUAUGGUGUUGAGUGAGCUCUGUAAUUGACCGAGUUGUUGUCAAAUUGUGGGAUAAUAAUGGCUGGAAUUUCCGGUUAGCUCAUGAGGGGUGAGAUUGGUUUGAUUUGGACCUUGCUUAGCAUCUAGAGUCAAAGCAUGCUAGAAACUUAACUAAGGAUUUAUCUAUUAAUUUGUUCUCUUAGCAUAAUCAACUCUAUAAACAACGUCUAAGUUAUCACAAGCAAUCUCGACCUAGGAGAAAUCUUCUGAAAGAUCAUCUAAUGAACAAGCUCAUAACAGAGUCUAAAUUUUCAGUUCAAGUGACUUGUUAUAAUGCCCUUUUCUGCUCAUUUCAACUGAGCUCGAAUUGUCAUUAUUUCCAUGAUUGCAUUUCUUAUCCCCUGAGCUAAUUGUGUUAAACAUGGCAUAUUUUAACGCCCUUUAGCAUAUAGUAGUUCACCCAUUUACAUCAUAAGUUCAAUAAUCAAACUUAAUCCAAAGCAUGCUUAGUUUAGAGUGAUUAUGUCGAUAUGCUUAGUGCAAGCAAGAUAUUAGGAGUAGGUGUAUUAGCGAUUCUAAUUUUAUGUACCUUUCACCUUUGGAAUGUCCUUUGUGUUUUGAUCGAUGCUGAUGUUGUGGUUUUCUGCUUCUUUGCAAGGUGGCUCCAAUAGUUAUCGAUCCAAAAGCUUGAGGGACACGUGGUUUGUAAGGUUUUGAGUAUCACUAGAGUAUGGCUUGAGUGUGAUUUGAGGGUGUGAUUGGAGAAUGAUUUAAGAGAGUGAUUGAGCGUGAUUUGAGGGAGUGAUUUAGUGUGGUUUUGCAAUCUAAUUAAGCCUCUCUUUUUCGUUGUGUUUCUGUUCAUAAUCACUUUUCCGAUUUGGUGUUUUCACAUUCAAAGAAUUUUCACUUUCUAAACCUUUCUCUGAAAUUUUUAUAGAACUUUGUUCCACUUCUCCCUUCUUUUCCCUCCAAACAGCUCCUCAUUUUAUAGCCUUCAACCAGACUUCUGCCAAGGGCAGAAUGGUCAUUUCCACCUAGGCAAUACCUGUUCUUUUACUCCGACAUCUAACUUCAUCUGGGCAAUCAGUAGGCAGCGCCUACCAAGGAAAGCUUUCUUGAAGAGGCUAGGCUGGUUCCUUUUCGGCGCCCACCCUUUCUUUAGGUGUUGGGGCAACGAACCCAGAAAGUUUAGGUUGGCU
This 7031-nucleotide long non-coding RNA is filed under the name Linum usitatissimum (flax). Its description in RNAcentral is "long non-coding RNA (LUSI_LNC002943)". The record is from RNAcentral. Lineage: Eukaryota; Viridiplantae; Streptophyta; Magnoliopsida; Malpighiales; Linaceae.